UUCUUUUGGCUCAUGCGCAAAAGAAGUGACGUACUGAUGGUGCUUCUGGAACAGAGCAGAGCGAAUAUCCAAACUAUCUCCACCGAGGAGCAGAAAGUGGAGACAGUGGGUCAGACGGACUGGAUGAAUCUGUGGAGAAAACAUUUCCAAGAAGAACCCGAGCGUUGGAGAGAAAAUGAGCGCAGGUGAGCUGCUCAAUAUAUGGUGAUAUUGAUUUUAGGCCAUAUCGCCCAGCCCUAACAGAAGUGCUCUGACUGAACAGCAGAGGGGAACGAGUGGACCACCAUCAAACCCUCAGACAACUUGUUCUCUGCAGAUGUUCAGCAGACUGCUGAUUGGAGUUGAUGCUCCUGAGGGAGGAAGGCCCACUAUGGACAUGCAGGACCCAGAGCCCCUCCACAUAAAGGAGGAACAGGAGGAACUCUGGACCACAUUGGAGGCAGAGCAGCUCAGUGUGAAGGAGGGGACUGAUGCUACAGAGUUAUCAUUCAUUGCAGUUACUGUGAAGAGUGAGGAUGAGGAUGAGGAUGAUGAAGAGAAGCCUCUGUUCU
Long non-coding RNA from Austrofundulus limnaeus, 551 nucleotides. RefSeq lists it as uncharacterized. The transcript has 3 exons. NCBI's taxonomy places the organism in Eukaryota, Metazoa, Chordata, Actinopteri, Cyprinodontiformes, Rivulidae. The record is from RefSeq and is a predicted model, not a curated record.